Molecule: non-coding RNA, 124 nt
Organism: Hordeum vulgare subsp. vulgare (domesticated barley)
Lineage: Eukaryota; Viridiplantae; Streptophyta; Magnoliopsida; Poales; Poaceae
Source: Rfam
UAGGUACUACCUCCGUCCGGAAAUAAUUGUCCUAAAGAUGAAAGUAUGUAGAUUUAUUUUAAUUAUAAAUACAUCCAUUAUAUGCAUUUUUAGGACAAGUAUUUCCAGACGGAGGAAGUAUUAC